GACCCAGCAAUCCUAGAUAUAUACCCAAAAUAUUUGAAAGCAGGAAUGCCAAGGGAAACCUGUACACCAAUGAUCAUUGCAGCACUUUUCACGGUAGCCAAAAGGUGGAAACAACUGAAAUGUCCGACAACAGGUGAAUGGAUAAACAAAAUGUGGUAUAUAAACAUAAUGGUACAUGUCUUGGUCAUCUACUGCUACCAUAACAGAAAUACCAUAAGUGGGUGGCUUUAACAAAGAGAAAUUUAUUUCCUCACAAUAAAGUUGGCUAAAAGUCCAAAUUCAAGACAACAGCUCCAGGAGAGGCUUUCAGUCUCUGUUGGCUCUGGAAGAAGGUCCUUGCCCUCAAUCUUCCCCUGGUCGAAGAGCUUCUCAGGUGCAGGGACCCCGGGUCCAGUGGACACGCUGUGCUCCUGGUGCUACUUUCUUGGUGGUAUGAGGUCCCCAACUCUCUCCUUGUUUCCCUUUAUCUCUUGAGAGAGAGAAAGUGGUACAGGCUGCACCAAAGGGAAACUCCCUUUAUCUUGGAUCGGGGGGUGACCUGAGUGAGGGUGGUGUUAUCCAACCCUAACCCUUUUAACAUAAAAUUACAAUCAUAAAUGGAGGACAACCACUCAAUACUGGGAAGCAUGGCCUAACCAACUUGAUACACACAUUUUUCGGGGGACAUAAUUCAAUCCAUGACAGUAUACUACUCAGCCAUAAAGAGAAAUGAAGUCCUGAUGCAUGCUACGAUAUUAUGUUGAGUGAAAUAAGUCAGUUCCAAAGGAUAAAUACUGUAUGGUGAUGAAUCUGUGAAACAUUUCAUAACACGGAGGAACCUGGAAGGCAUUAUGCUGAGUGAAAUUAGUUGCAAAAGGACAAAUAUUAUAUAAGACCACUAUUAUAAGAUCUCGAGAAAUAGUUUAAACUGAGAAGAACACAUUCUUUUGUGGUUACAAGAGGGGGCAAGGAGGAAAGAUGGGAGGAGGUAUUUACCAAUUAGAUAGCAGAUACCUACUUUAGGUGAAGGGAAGGACAGCACUCAAUACAGAGGAGGUCAGCACAACUGGACUAAACCAAAAGCAAAGAGGUUUUCUGAAUAAACUGAAUGCUUCCAAGGUCGGCGAAGCAGGGGCAGGGGUUUGGAGACCAUGGUUUCAGGGGACAUCUAAGUCAAUUGGAAAAACAAAAUCUAUUAAGAAAACCUCCUGCAUCCCACUUUGAAGAGUGGCGUCUGGGGGUCUUAAAGGCUAGCAAGCGGCCAUCUAAGAUGCAUCAAUCAGUUUCAACGCACCUGGAUGAAAGGAGAAUAAACAACACCAAGGACACAAGGUGAUUAUGAGCCCGAGACAGAAAGGGCUACAUGAACCAGAGACUACAUCAUCCUGAGACCAGAAGAACUAGAUGGUGCCCAGCCACAACUGAUAACUACCCUGACAGGGAACACAACAGAGAACCCCUGAGGGCGCAGGGAAACAGUGGGGUGCAGACCCCAAAACCUUGUAAAAAGACCAGACUUAAUUGACUGAGACUAGAAAGGCCCCGGCAGUCAUGGUCCCCUAACCUUCUGUUGGCCCAGGACAGGAACCAUAUGUGAAGCCAACUGAUCAGACAUGGAUUGUACUGCACGAUGGGUUGGAGACAGAUGCUGCUGAGGAGUGAGCUACUUACAUCCGGUGGACACUUGAGACUGUGUUGGUAUCUCCUGUCUGGAGGGGAGAUGGGAGGGUACAGAGGGUUAGAGGCUGGCAAUAUGGUCAUGAAAAGAGAGACCAGGACUUCAGUCUAGUUAUAGGCCUAGAAGCAACAAUGAGUGUUGGGAAUGUGUCUGGAGAACAUUCAGCAAUGUCUUGUAAGACAUCUGCCUUAAGGGAUGAUGCCCCAGGCAGUGACUCAGACAUCACCCUAGUGGACGACUGAGACAAAGGCUCUUCAGACACAACUGGGUUAAUCUCAGCAGAUGGGGUCUGAGGGGCUAACAGUUUUCCUGGGGAGGGUGGUUUAGCAGCCAAACAUGGAGUAAUCCCUUCAGGCGGGAGCUGCUAUUUGGUGAUGGCCUUGCUAUUCCUCAAUGAAACUCAUUUUCUUUCACUCCUAAUAGAGUGUGGGAUUUUGUUCUUCAACAACACAAACAAACAGAAAACAUGACCAGAGCCUUUGCAGCAGCAAAUUAGCUAGGAGAAGAUUAUAAUGUAAUGCUUUCAAGUUCUGAUUUAAAGUAGAAUUCUAACCCAGGCAAAAUGUGAGGGCAAUCAAGGCAUUUCCAGACAAGUAAGUAAGAACUUAAACAUCUACUUGCAAGGCAUGCACCUUGAGGAAACUGUUGGAGAAAGGAAAUCGGCACAAAGGACUGAUGAGAAAAAAAAAAAAAAAAGACUGUUUAGGAAUAGAAAAUAAAAACAGACAUCUGAUCUGUCUGUAAAGAGACUAAAGUAACUCUAAGCGCUCAAUGUAGUCUUUCACCUUAGGUUUGGCGUUGGCUGUCUAGCAGCUCCAGGUAAGCUUUCCCCCAGGUUCUACCUUCCUUCCCUAGGAAUCAACCCAUCACCAUGAAGGAAAUGAGUUGCUUUGCGGAUCAGGCUAAAGAAUGUGAAGACUUAAGGCAAACUUUUGGUAUCAGCCUCCUCAGGUUUCUGACAUGCCCAGCAAAGUGAGAGAUCAUUGAAACUCCUUGUUUCCAUUCUCAUCUGGAGAGCUAACAUUCUGAGCAACGUGAUUGUUAACCAACCAGUCUUGAGAAUAUCCGUCCUGUGGCUGCUUUGUAACCAAGGUGAAACCCCCUUGAUCUCCUGUCUUUCAAUUGUGUCUUGUAGCCAGUCAAUCGACUCACGUAAGCAAUAAUGACAACGAUUGUGCUUUACUUGUCGCGCCUUUGACUGACCUUCGUCACUGUGAACCAACAAGAAAAACUGUAAUUUUAUUCUCCCCCUUCAGCACUCUGAUUACUCCUGAUUUGCCUUCUUCCCCUGAGAUUCCGGAACGUCAGCCUGAGACUUUGCGAUCUCCCACUGCCACGUCUCCGCUGCAAUAAAUCUCUUUCGAUAUUACCUUAAGGGAGCUGGAAAGUCUUUUCUCUCCAACAUUUUGGCGUAGUUAAUCGGCAGGGUUUUUGAAGUUACCCUUCCCCCGGAGACCCGAAGACCUGAAACACGGGACUCUGGCACCCAGGGCCCCUCUGUGUGCCCCUCGCUGCAGCUUUUUCGGACCCUUCUGGCUGUCUGGGGGGAGAAGGGAGCAGAGAGACUGGAGGACUUCAUUACCACCAAGCAGAAGAGCCAGGAGCAUUUGCUUUGAACCAGGGGCCCCUGCACUGAGAAGCUGCUAGAUCUGGGGAAGACUGAUGACAAGGACCUUCUCCCAGAGCCAACAGAGAGAGAAAGACUUUCCUAGGAGCUGACGCCCUGAAUUCAGACUUCUAGUCUCCUAGACUGUGAGAGAAUAAAUUACUCUUUGUAAAAGCCA
This is a long non-coding RNA of Loxodonta africana (African savanna elephant), 3441 nucleotides long. RefSeq lists it as uncharacterized. The record is from RefSeq and is a predicted model, not a curated record. The transcript has 2 exons. NCBI's taxonomy places the organism in Eukaryota, Metazoa, Chordata, Mammalia, Proboscidea, Elephantidae.